AGCAGCCGCGGUAAUUCCAGCUCCAAUAGCGUAUAUUAAAGUUGUUGCAGUUAAAAAGCUCGUAGUUGAAUUUCGGGAUCAGUACGCUGGUCAUGCCUUUGGUAUGCACUGGUGUCACUGGUUUCUCCCUUCUGAAGAACCGUGAUGUCAUUAAUUUGGUGUCGCGGGGAAUCAGGACUGUUACUUUGAAAAAUUAGAGUGUUUAAAGCAGGCUCACGCUUGAAUACAUUAGCAUGGAAUAAUGAAAUAGGACGUUUGACCCUAUUUUGUUGGUUUCUAGGAUCGACGUAAUGAUUAAUAGGGAUAGUUGGGGGCACUAGUAUUCAAUUGUCAGAGGUGAAAUUCUUGGAUUUAUUGAAGACUAACUACUGCGAAAGCAUUUGCCAAGGAUGUUUUCAUUAAUCAAGAACGAAAGUUAGGGGAUCGAAGACGAUCAGAUACCGUCGUAGUCUUAACCAUAAACUAUGCCGACUAGGGAUCGGAUGAUGUUAAUUUUAUAAUGA
Molecule: ribosomal RNA, 503 nt
Filed under: uncultured Glomus
Lineage: Eukaryota; Fungi; Glomeromycota; Glomeromycetes; Glomerales; Glomeraceae
Description: SSU rRNA
Rfam family: Eukaryotic small subunit ribosomal RNA
Source: RNAcentral